AUUGAACGCUGGCGGCAUGCCUUACACAUGCAAGUCGAACGGCAGCGGACCUUCGGGUGCCGGCGAGUGGCGAACGGGUGAGUAAUAUAUCGGAACGUACCUUUCAGUGGGGGAUAACGUAGCGAAAGUUACGCUAAUACCGCAUAUUCUGUGAGCAGGAAAGCAGGGGAUCGCAAGACCUUGCGCUGAUUGAGCGGCCGAUAUCAGAUUAGCUAGUUGGUGAGGUAAAGGCUCACCAAGGCGACGAUCUGUAGCGGGUCUGAGAGGAUGAUCCGCCACACUGGGACUGAGACACGGCCCAGACUCCUACGGGAGGCAGCAGUGGGGAAUUUUGGACAAUGGGCGCAAGCCUGAUCCAGCCAUGCCGCGUGCGGGACGAAGGCCUUC
Molecule: ribosomal RNA, 387 nt
Filed under: uncultured bacterium
Lineage: Bacteria
Description: bacterial SSU rRNA
Rfam family: Bacterial small subunit ribosomal RNA
Source: RNAcentral